UACGUAGGGUGCGGGCGUUGUCCGGAAUUAUUGGGCGUAAAGAGCUUGUAGGCGGUCUGUCGCGUCUGCUGUGAAAAUCCGGGGCUCAACCCCGGACUUGCAGUGGGUACGGGCAGACUAGAGUGUGGUAGGGGAGACUGGAAUUCCUGGUGUAGCGGUGAAAUGCGCAGAUAUCAGGAGGAACACCGGUGGCGAAGGCGGAUCUCUGGGCCAUUACUGACGCUGAGGAGCGAAAGCGUGGGGAGCGAACAGG
RNAcentral lists this ribosomal RNA (253 nucleotides) under uncultured bacterium. RNAcentral describes it as "partial 16S ribosomal RNA". It matches the Rfam family "Bacterial small subunit ribosomal RNA", at positions 524 to 776 of the family's 1533-position model. The record is from RNAcentral.